RNAcentral lists this ribosomal RNA (252 nucleotides) under uncultured prokaryote. RNAcentral describes it as "partial 16S ribosomal RNA". It matches the Rfam family "Bacterial small subunit ribosomal RNA", at positions 524 to 776 of the family's 1533-position model. The record is from RNAcentral.
UACGUAGGGGGCGAGCGUUAUCCAGAAUUAUUGGGCGUAAAGCGCACGCAGGCGGUUCGCCAAGUUCGCAGUGACACUCCCCGGCUUAACCGGGGAACGAUUGCGAAAACUGGUGGACUUGAGAGCGAGAGAGGGACAUGGAAUUCCGGGUGGAGCAGUGACAUGCGUAGAGAUCCGGAGGAACACCAAGGCGAAGGCAGUGUCCUGGCUCGUGUCUGACGCUGAGGUGCGAAAGCCAGGGGAGCGAACGGG